GGUUGUCGUUUAUUGGGCAAAUUCUUGACACCGAAUGAAAGCAAUGGCGCAGUUCGCGAAUUAUCACUUUAUUUGGUUGUUAUUAUUCACAGCAUGGCUAUAGUAUUAUCAAUACUUAUUGUUUCUUUCAUUUGGAUUUUAAUAAUUGUUAGUGCAAGCGGACUCUCGAGAAUAUUUAACUGGUGUUUUCAAAAACUCGGACCAAUAUCAGAUAAUUUGCUAGCGCUAUUUGGGGCUUUUAUUAUUUCACUGGCAAUGAAGAAAUGUGGAGGACUGUCACUUGUCGUAACGUGCAUCUUAUAUUUAUUGUUGUAUGCGCUGACCCACAUCGCUCGUCACCCGAUCUUGCGUUUGUAAUAGCAAGCGUUAAGUGUGCCCCAUGUGGCGCCACACGUUAAGCCACAGUGCAAGCCAUUACGAGUGUUCUGCAUGUGUCAUCAAUCCACACUCGAUCGUCACAACAAAUACGCCGAUUCAGCAAUAUACAGGCAUGUUCUGCAAAUCGUUUCGGGUGAUAUUUUCGUAUUUUCCGUUUUCAAAUCGUUUGACAUGUCCUGUAAAUCGUUCCGUUUUCAUUUUUUCGAACAUGAGCAAAUCGUUUUGUCACCCUGUUCUGGAAAUCGAAAUCGUUAAAAUUUUCCCGUUUUAUAUUCGUCAACUUAAAUGAUAGCGGUUUGGAAGUCUAAUAAACGUUUUUUUGGAAUAAUAUUUUUAACAAUGGGAAAACACAAAAACUCCAAGCAAGAGCUAAUUUUAGUUCAAUUAAUGGAAUCUCAUCCAGAUCUGGCAAAGAAUUUUUCGAAGGGCGACAGAGUUGCCGUUGAAGAAAAGUGGAAGGAACUGACCACAUUGCUAAAUGCAGAAGGGCUUCCCCAGAAGGACGUUAAUGGAUGGAAAAAAGCAAGUUAUAUUUAAUCAAGUAUUAAAAUGAAUGAUGCAUCCGUAAAAAGGUUGCCUAUAACAAUUUGGAAUCGAGGGCAACAGAAGGUGGCCCUUUUAAUAAACAUGUAUUAACGCCCAACGAAGAAUGUGUUGCCAGAACUUGCGGAAUUUUCGCGGCUGUGGAGGGCAUUAAUCAUUCCAGAAGUUUUGGAGCCGAAGAAAGCUGCAUCGCCAGUGAGUCGGAGGAAGAGCGUCCGCAAACAAGUAGGGAAGCCGUGGCUACCCCGAGAGCAGCAAAAAGGCCACGAGCCUCCGAAACACAAGACUGCCUCCAGACAUGCAUGACAACACAAGCCUCUUGCAUGGAAAGAAUUUCAACCACGUUGGAUGACGUUUGCAAAAGCCACCAAAAAAUUGCAAAAUCGCAUGAAGGGGAUAGGGAUGAUAUUCGACGACUUCGUCGUGCUGCUGAAAAACAAAACGAGUUGUUGGCAGAGCAAAAUCGGUUGAAAGCGCAAAGUUUGGAGGAAAAAAGAAGGCAUCACAUCAGAAUGGAGCAGUUGCAACAUGAAAAAGUUAAAAUAAAAAUGAAAAUGCUUGAGCUAGAGUCGCCAAAAUGAAUACAAACUCCAUAUCGACACCUGAGUGGAAGAUCGACCUAUCUCGGCAGCCAGUUCGAAAACGCCCUAUCUGAGAAAACUUUUCAAGAACGCCCUACUUCAUAAAAUGAUUAAGAACGCACUAUUUCAUAAUUUUAUUGAAACACUCCCUAUAAGAAUUUUUCUGAAAAACGCCCUAUCCCAGAAUUCGAUUCAAAAACGCCCGAUCCCAACACAUUUUCAAUAUAUUUUCAGCUCAGAUAAGGUGUUUUUAAACCGAGUUUUGAGGUAGGGCGUUCUGCAACCAAAUUCUGAGAUAAGGUGUUUUUCAAUCAAAUUCUGAAAUAGGGCGUUCUUUAAUCAAAUUCUGAA
Rhagoletis pomonella (apple maggot) is the source of this 1853-nucleotide long non-coding RNA. RefSeq lists it as uncharacterized. NCBI's taxonomy places the organism in Eukaryota, Metazoa, Arthropoda, Insecta, Diptera, Tephritidae. The record is from RefSeq and is a predicted model, not a curated record. The transcript is spliced from 4 exons.